Molecule: ribosomal RNA, 199 nt
Filed under: uncultured bacterium
Lineage: Bacteria
Description: partial 16S ribosomal RNA
Rfam family: Bacterial small subunit ribosomal RNA
Source: RNAcentral
ACGCUCGACACCUACGGAGGCAGCAGUGGGGAAUAUUGCACAAUGGGGGAAACCCUGAUGCAGCGACGCCGCGUGAGCGAAGAAGUAUUUCGGUAUGUAAAGCUCUAUCAGCAGGGAAGAAACUGACGGUACCUGACUAAGAAGCACCGGCUAAAUACGUGCCGANAGCCGCGGUAAUCUGAGCGGGCGUGGCGAAGGC